AGUUAUAUGCUUGUCUCAAAGAUUAAGCCAUGCAUGUCUAAGUACACACUCUUGCAUAGUGAAACCGCAAAAGGCUCAGUAUAUCAGUUAUGGUUUAUUAGAUCGUGCUCAUAGUUACAUGGAUAACUGUGGUAAUUCUAGAGCUAAUACAUGCAAAUUAUCAAGUGCCGCAAGGUUCUUGUGCUUUUAUUAGUUUAAAACCAAUCAACACAUCAAGGUGUACCUUCACGGGUAUGCUGUGUUGUUAUUAAGGUGAUUCUGGAUAACAUGCAGAUCGCAUGGUCUUGUACCGGCGAUGGGUCUUUCAAAUGUCUGCCCUAUCAACUAUUGAUGGUAGUAUCUAGGACUACCAUGGUUGCAACGGGUAACGGGGAAUCAGGGUUCGAUUCCGGAGAGGGAGCCUGAGAAACGGCUACCACAUCUAAGGAAGGCAGCAGGCGCGUAAAUUACCCAAUCCCAGCACGGGGAGGUAGUGACGAAAAAUAACGAUACAGGACUCAAUCCGAGGCCCUGUAAUUGGAAUGAGUACACUUUAAAUCCUUUAACAAGGAACAAUUGGAGGGCAAGUCUGGUGCCAGCAGCCGCGGUAAUUCCAGCUCCAAUAGCGUAUAUUAAAGUUGUUGCGGUUAAAACGUUCGUAGUUGAACUUGUGUCAGGCACAGGUCGUACACCUUAAUGGUUUUGUACAUUUCCUGGUAUGCUAUGACGUAUUACUGAAGUGGUCAUAUUGCUUAUAGUUAUCGUUUGAGUAUAGUUUCGGCUAGAAAGGUGAUUAUUUGUUGGUAUACCACACUUAUAAAUCUAUAUGAGUGCUCUUAAUCGGGUGCUUAUAUGGAACAGUACUAUUACUUUGAACAAAUUAGAGUGCUUAAAGCAGGCCGUUUGUGCCUAAAUAUUCUGUGCAUGGAAUAAUGGAAUAGGACGUCUGUUCUAUUUUCAAUUGGUUUUGAGAUCAAGACG
Molecule: ribosomal RNA, 960 nt
Filed under: Tipulidae sp. Tipu_H2
Lineage: Eukaryota; Metazoa; Arthropoda; Insecta; Diptera; Tipulidae
Description: bacterial SSU rRNA
Rfam family: Eukaryotic small subunit ribosomal RNA
Source: RNAcentral